RNAcentral lists this ribosomal RNA (1533 nucleotides) under metagenome. RNAcentral describes it as "bacterial SSU rRNA". It matches the Rfam family "Bacterial small subunit ribosomal RNA". The record is from RNAcentral.
GGGUUUGAUCCUGGCUCAGAACGAACGUUGGCAGCGUGGAUUAGGCAUGCAAGUCGAACGAGGACUGGGAGCUUGCUCCCAGAGCCGAGUGGCGGACGGGUGAGUAAUGCAUGGACAAUCUGCCCGGCGGUAGGGGAUAACCCUCCUAACGGGGGGCUAAUACCGAUUAUACGAUGGAAGAGUCGCAUGGCUCUUCCAUGAAAGGCGGGGAUCCUUUCGGGGACCUGUCGCCGCCGGAGGAGUUCAUGUCGUAUUAGCUUGUUGGUGAGGUAACGGCUCACCAAGGCUAUGAUGCGUAGCCGGCCUGAGAGGGUGUUCGGCCACAUUGGGACUGAGACACUGCCCAAACUCCUACGGGAGGCUGCAGUCGAGAAUCUUCUGCAAUGGGCGCAAGCCUGACAGAGCGACGCUGUGUGUGCGAUGAAGGCCUUCGGGUUGUAAAGCACUGUCAAGGGGUAGGAAUAAGCGAACGCUAAUACCGUUCGUGAUGACUAUCCCCUAAAGGAAGCUCCGGUUAAAUUCGUGCCAGCAGCCGCGGUAAGACGAAUGGAGCGAACGUUGUUCGGAAUCACUGGGCUUAAAGGGCGCGUUAGGCGGCUUGUUAGGUCAAGGGUGAAAGCCCCGGGCUCAACCUGGGAAUUGCCCUUGAAACCGGCAGGCUAGAGGACAGGAGGGGAGAGCGGAAUUCCAGGUGUAGCGGUGGAAUGCGUAGAUAUCUGGGAGAAGGCCGGUGGCGAAGGCGGCUCUCUGGUCUGUUUCUGACGCUGAAGUGCGAAAGCUGGGGGAGCAAACAGGAUUAGAUACCCUGGUAGUCCCAGCCGUAAACGAUGAGCACUACCUAGUGGAUGUUCCAAGACAUUCACUGGGAUCGUAGUGAAAACCUUAAGUGCUCCGCCUGGGGAGUAUGGUCGCAAGGCUAAAACUCAAAGGAAUUGACGGGGGCUCACACAAGCGGUGGAGCAUGUUGUUCAAUUCGAAACAACGCGCAGAACCUUACCCGGGCUUGACAUGGUGGGAUUAACCCGUCGAAAGGCGGGGGAUUACCGGCAACGGUGUAACCAUCACAGGUGUUGCAUGGCUGUCGUCAGCUCGUGUCGUGAGAUGUCGGGUUAAGUCCCUUAACGAGCGAAACCCUUGUCCUUAGUUACCAGCGGGUAAUGCCGGGGACUCUAGGGAUACUGCCGGUCAUAAACCGGAGGAAGGUGGGGAUGACGUCAAGUCCUCAUGGCCCUUACGCCCGGGGCUACAAACGUGCUACAAUGGAGUGUACAAUGAGAAGCGAGACCGCGAGGUGGAGCAAAUCUUGAAAGCACUCCCUAGUUCAGAUUGUAGGCUGCAAUUCGCCUACAUGAAGCUGGAAUCGCUAGUAAUCGCGGAUCAGCUGGCCGCGGUGAAUAUGUUCCUGAGCCUUGUACACACCGCCCGUCAAGCCACCCGAGUCGAUCGCACCCGUAGUCCGUGACCCAACCCGUUUCGGCGGGAGGGAGCGGCCGAAGGUGAGGUCGGUAAGGGGGACUAAGUCGUAACAAGGUA